AAAUAUUGUAUCUUUGAUUCUUUGUGGUUGAUUUUCGUGCGGGUAUCUUUGAAAACCCAUGCAAGACCAGAUCGUUUACUAGAUUUCUCCCAAGAUGCAUAUGUGAAACAGAUCAUUUCGAGACUGUGAUCGUCAGUUAGAUAUAUUCUUUUAAAGACUGUGGCUUUGCUGUUUUGUUGUUUGUCGUGUGUUGCUUGUCCUAUAUUCCACUCUCUAGCUGGUGCAAG
Molecule: long non-coding RNA, 227 nt
Filed under: Brassica rapa (field mustard)
Lineage: Eukaryota; Viridiplantae; Streptophyta; Magnoliopsida; Brassicales; Brassicaceae
Description: long non-coding RNA (BRAP_LNC003114)
Source: RNAcentral